AAUCAACGCUGGCGGCGUGCCUCAGACAUGCAAGUCGAACGCGAAAGUUUCCUUCGGGAGACAAGUAGAGUGGCGCACGGGUGAGUAACACGUAGGUAAUCUACCUUUGGAUGGGGAAUAACAACCGGAAACGGUUGCUAAUACCGCAUAAUGCAGCGGCACCUAAUGGUGACAGUUGUUAAAGCGGGGGAUCGAAAGACCUCGCGUCUGAAGAGGAGCCUGCGGCAGAUUAGCUAGUUGGUGAGGUAAUGGCUCACCAAGGCUUCGAUCUGUAGCUGGUCUGAGAGGACGGCCAGCCACACUGGCACUGACACACGGGCCAGACUCCUACGGGAGGCAGCAGUGGGGAAUUUUGGGCAAUGGGCGAAAGCCUGACCCAGCAACGCCGCGUGAGGGAGGAAAUCCUUCGGAUGUAAACCUCACAAGCAAGGGAAGAGAGCUACGGGCUGAAUAAUCCCGUAGUGCGACGGUACCUUGCGUAAGCCACGGCUAACUACGUGCC
Molecule: ribosomal RNA, 502 nt
Filed under: uncultured bacterium
Lineage: Bacteria
Description: bacterial SSU rRNA
Rfam family: Bacterial small subunit ribosomal RNA
Source: RNAcentral